CGCGGGGCCAGGGGGUCAGGGGGCCGCCCCCCCUCAGCUGCUGGACGCAGGGCUCGGCCUUCGCCUCUCGGCUCGGGAGAGUCCUUGAGUACGGAGACCGGCUAGGAGGGUUGCAGCUGCCUCUUUUUGAAAGUUGGGUUGGGCCCCAAGAGUGACUUCCGACAGACCUUUCCACUCCCACCGUCUGUGGCCUGAGGGCCUUCCCUUCUCCUCCCGCCCACCCCUCUGGAUGUUUCGGGGAGUUAGAAGGGAGCUGGAUUGAGAGACUGUGUUAGGGGCGGGGGUAUGGAACGUAGUGGAAAGGGCAGAAAUUUGGAUCUCAGUUCGCGCCCACCCCGCAGGCGCCUCCCGCGAGCCGGGCCCUCUGUGAGUGAGACAAGCUCCCCUUCCUUUACGCGCCUCACCUGGCGCGUGGGGAGAGGUCGGCAGCCCUCCGCCGCAGAACCUCCGGAAGGGAUGUCCUCUGCCCUGCGCCUCUGGCCGGGGCUGUGGUCCCUCCAGGCCGUCGAGGGGAUGCUGAGGCCGGUCCCCAGAGGAGCAUGACUUGGCUGGUCCGGAGGAGCUCUGAGGGCAUGGGCAAUCUUGGCUCGCUGCAACCUCAGCUUCCAGAGUUCAAGCGAGUCUCCUGCUUCAGCCUCAUGAGUAGCUGGGACUACAGAUGCGUGCCACUACGUCCGUCUGAUGUUUGUAUUUUUAGUAGAGACAGGGUUUCACCAUGUUGGUCAGGCUGCUCUCGAACUCCAGAUCUCGUGAUCCGCCCGCCUGGGCCUACUAAAGUGCUGGGAUUACAGGCGUGAGCUAGAUCUGACUUUCUAGUGUCCUAGCCUUGGCCCGAUGGACAUGUCAUUUCUCUCAGCUCGUUUCUGUCCCCUAAAGUGAGAAUAUUGCCUGGGAAGAUUACAUUAGACGAUGUAUAUGCGAAGACACUUGAUAGCUGGUAUUGUCAUGAUUCUGAUUAGUUCACUACUGCUACUUUCCCUGUGGCCUAGGCUUUGCCUAUUUCCAGUGGGCGAGCUAGCUAGAUCCUCCUCCCUUAAAUAAGCCAGUGUUUUUAAGACAGAAUACUACUUGCAUAGUGGACAAUAAUAUCUUAAAGAACUGAGCAGGAUGAAAAGAAUUUGAUAGAAAGCAGGUUUGAGGAGCACAUUGGAGGUUGGCAGGUUUCGAGGCUGCUUGAGAGGACUUGGGCCGAUCUGGGCUGGGCUUGGACGUGACCCUGGCACCCAGGCAGGUGGAUCCCAGCUGGGGCUUCCAUUCACGACUUUCUGGUCCCUGGCAGGACAGAGCGGGAUGCCACCAGCUUGUCCAAAGGGAAGUUCCAGGAGCUCCUGGUGGGCAUCGUUGUGGAGAAUGACGCUGGCCGCGGCGAGAUCAACGAGUUGAAGCAGGUGGAAGGGGAGGCUUCGUGCAGCAGCCGCAAAGGAAAGCUGAUUUUCUUCUAUGAGUGGAACAUCAAACUGGGCUGGAAAGGCAUCGUUAAAGAAUCUGGAGUGAAGCACAAGGGAUUGAUUGAAAUACCCAAUCUUUCUGAGGAAAAUGAAGUAGAUGACACUGAGGUCAACGUUGAGUAAAAAGAAAGGAGAUGGGGUUAUACUGAAGGAUCUUAUGAAAACUGCAGGCACUGCCAAGGUCAGGGAGGCCCUUGGAGAUUACCUGAAGGCACUUAAGACGGAAUUUACAACGGGAAUGAUUUUACCAACGAAAGCUAUGGCAACCCAGGAAUUGACUGUCAAAAGAAAACUGAGUGGGAAUACCCUGCAGGUUCAGGCCUCAUCUCCAGUGGCACUGGGUGUAAGGAUUCCCACUGUGGCUCUUCACAUGAUGGAACUGUUUGACACAACUGUAGAGCAGCUGUAUAGCAUCUUCACUGUAAAGGAGUUAACAAAUAAGAAGAUCAUCAUGAAAUGGAGAUGUGGGAACUGGCCAGAAGAACACUAUGCCAUGGUUGCACUGAAUUUUGUGCCUACUCUAGGGCAAACAGAAUUACAAUUGAAGGAGUUCCUAUCUAUCUGUAAAGAAGAGAACAUGAAAUUCUGUUGGCAGAAGCAGCAUUUUGAAGAAAUAAAAGGUUCACUGCAGCUGACCCCCCUAAAUGGUUGAAUUAAAAUUUAUUAUAAGGCAUUACUUUUUGUAAGCGGAAAAAGUGUCACAUUUACCUCUUCCCUAUCUUUUGUUUAAAAGGACUGUCUUUAUUUUAUAUUGGAUGAAAUCUAUGAACAUAUAUACAAUGUAAAGCAUUGUUUGACUCUUUAUUAUAACUAGACACUGCAUUGAUUUAAAAGUAGCAAACAACCUGAAAUUAAGUAUUAACCUGACCUUCCAUCGAUAUUCCUCUGGAAAUAGGUAAGUCCUGAGUGCAGAUAGUUGAUGUUUCCCAAGCUGAAGCUUGUCCUAUAGCAAGCUUGCUUGCAGCUGUACUUUUAGUUCAAGAUGACAAAAAAUAAAUGGCAUGUUGACACUAUUCCUUUAUUUUACUUUAGGGUUUUUAAGGUGUGUAGAUCUUAGGUCGUAAAACAGUGGUAUAUUGCAUUCAAAAGCAUGUUGAGGUGAGGGCAAAUUGGCUGUGUUUUGCUCCACAUCUCCCUGCACAUCUCCCUGCUGUGGUUUUGCACUUCGGUGUGGAGAGGAUUGAGAAGUCUGUGGGGACACAUUAGUUCUGUGGACUGCUGGUAACACUUCCAGUGAAACAGCAUAUAAUGGAUAAAUGUUUCCCCCCUCUUUCACGGUUUUCUCACUACUUUCACCUGAGAAGACUGAAGCAACGUAUGUAAACAAAUGAAAAGUCAUCACAAUCAGUUUAAUUAAGUGCACAG
Homo sapiens (human) is the source of this 2813-nucleotide long non-coding RNA. Ensembl annotates it as activator of HSP90 ATPase homolog 2, pseudogene. Its record names the gene AHSA2P. Lineage: Eukaryota; Metazoa; Chordata; Mammalia; Primates; Hominidae. The record is from Ensembl.